CCUACGGGGUGCAGCAGUAGGGAAUCUUCCACAAUGGGCGAAAGCCUGAUGGAGCAACGCCGCGUGGGUGAAGAAGGUCUUCGGAUCGUAAAACCCUGUUGUUAGAGAAGAAAGUGCGUGAGCGUAACUGUUCACGUUUCGACGGUAUCUAACCAGAAAGCCACGGCUAACUACGUGCCAGCAGCCGCGGUAAUACGUAGGUGGCAAGCGUUAUCCGGAUUUAUUGGGCGUAAAGGGAACACAGGAGGGCUUUUAAGUCUGAUGUGAAAGCCUUCGGCUUAACCGGAGUAGUGCAUUGGAAACUGGGAGACUGGAGUGCAGAAGAGGAGAGUGGAACUCGAUGUGUAGCGGUGAAAUGCGUAGAUAUAUGGAAGAACACCAGUGGCGAAAGCGGCUCUCUGGUCUGUAACUGACGCUGAGGUUCGAAAGCGUGGGUAGCAAACAGGAUUAGAUACCCUGGUAGUC
RNAcentral lists this ribosomal RNA (465 nucleotides) under uncultured bacterium. RNAcentral's name for it is "partial 16S ribosomal RNA". It matches the Rfam family "Bacterial small subunit ribosomal RNA", at positions 338 to 795 of the family's 1533-position model. The record is from RNAcentral.